UACGUAGGGUGCAAGCGUUGUCCGGAAUUAUUGGGCGUAAAGAGCUCGUAGGCGGUCAGUCGCGUCUGCUGUGAAAACUCGGGGCUUAACUCCGGGCCUGCAGUGGGUACGGGCUGACUAGAGUGCGGUAGGGGAGACUGGAAUUCCUGGUGUAGCGGUGAAAUGCGCAGAUAUCAGGAGGAACACCGGUGGCGAAGGCGGAUCUCUGGGCCUUACCUGACGCUGAGGCGCGAAAGCUAGGGGAGCGAACAGG
Molecule: ribosomal RNA, 253 nt
Filed under: uncultured bacterium
Lineage: Bacteria
Description: partial 16S ribosomal RNA
Rfam family: Bacterial small subunit ribosomal RNA
Source: RNAcentral